This is a long non-coding RNA of Girardinichthys multiradiatus, 385 nucleotides long. RefSeq lists it as uncharacterized. The record is from RefSeq and is a predicted model, not a curated record. Lineage: Eukaryota; Metazoa; Chordata; Actinopteri; Cyprinodontiformes; Goodeidae. The transcript has 3 exons.
AGUUACCACAGUGCAGUGCACUCAUAGUAGUUCAAAAUAGCAGAUGUCUGGUGUAAAAAUUUAUUAUGAUUUCUUUUCUUCUGUUUCAGGAAAUCAAGAUUCAAUCCAUGAAAGUUGUGACUAUGAUGAUGUGGAGUCCAACCAGACCUAUGCCAAUGUUGAUUAUUUUAAACGCAAAACCUCUCGGAAUAUAAAGGUCUAACAGGAUGAAGACACUGACUUAUUCUGCUGUCAGGACUAAAAAGAAGAGAGAGGCGGACAUCGAUCCCAGCGGUCUCUACAGCUACAUCACUAAGUCACAAUUAACCAAUUAGGGAAAUAAGACGUCUCAUCACACCCCCGUCUUUUAAUAAACCUGUUUACAGGAAGUGAACCGUUGGGUAUU